This is a long non-coding RNA of Gopherus agassizii (Agassiz's desert tortoise), 757 nucleotides long. Lineage: Eukaryota; Metazoa; Chordata; Testudines; Testudinidae. The record is from Ensembl.
CUUAGACAAGAAUGAACUUGAACUGCUUUUGGAACAUAGAAGCAGCUAGGAUAACCACAGAACGUAACAAAUCAGAAUGAAAACGGCAUUAAGAGGCUGUGUUGCAGCACGGGGAAACCAAGAGCAACCCGCAGGAUUCUAAAAAUGUAGCCAAGGCCACCCUCAUCUUUAACAAAGGGGUGUGGUCUUCAGAGAAUAUGACUGCUGACAUAUGACGCUCCAUUCUGAUCUGGACAGCCUCUGCUGGGUGCAUUUGGAGGAGGAGGAGGAGGAAGUAAAACUGGUCCUGAACCUGCAUUGAUUGGAGCUACUACUAUGCCAGAUUUGGAGUUUCUAUGAAGCCAAAUAUCCCUGGUUUGAGAGACUUGAGUUGUGACUGGCAAGUGUUCCUGCUUAAGACAACUGACUCGGCAUGGCUGUAUGUGGAGCUUUGUAACGUCCCUGAGUACAGGAGUGCCAAGAGGGGGCCCCCAAAAGCUUGCAAUGUAUCACAGUUCAAGAAAGAACCCUGGAGCACUAUGGCGCAUAAGUUAUUGGGACUCUUUGAAGGAGAAGUGUUAAAACUCCUAAGACAUCUAGAGGAUGUUGCCAGUCGCUCAGACUUCUGUAAUACUAUGUGACAAGGACUUGAGAUGUUUGUGAAGUUACAAACUGCUGUGAGGAGACCUUUCUAAAGCUGACUCUAUGGAUCAGUGUUUUCAGUUACUGGCCUCCACUUCUGCUGACACAAAUAAAGGUGGGUGCAAUUUUGAACCCA